UGGGGAAUUUUGGACAAUGGGCGAAAGCCUGAUCCAGCAAUGCCGCGUGUGUGAAGAAGGCCUUCGGGUUGUAAAGCACUUUUGUCCGGAAAGAAAUCCUCCGGGUUAAUACCUCGGGGGGAUGACGGUACCGGAAGAAUAAGCACCGGCUAACUACGUGCCAGCAGCCGCGGUAAUACGUAGGGUGCAAGCGUUAAUCGGAAUUACUGGGCGUAAAGCGUGCGCAGGCGGUUUUGUAAGACGGAUGUGAAAUCCCCGGGCUUAACCUGGGAACUGCAUUCGUGACUGCAAGGCUAGAGUAUGGCAGAGGGGGGUAGAAUUCCACGUGUAGCAGUGAAAUGCGUAGAGAUGUGGAGGAAUACCGAUGGCGAAGGCAGCCCCCUGGGCCAAUACUGACGCUCAUGCACGAAAGCGCGGGGAGCAAACAGGAUUAGAUACCCUGGUAGUCCACGCCCUAAACGAUGUCAACUAGUUGUUGGGGAUUCAUUUCCUUAGUAACGUAGCUAACGCGUGAAGUUGACCGCCUGGGGAGUACGGUCGCAAGAUU
Molecule: ribosomal RNA, 547 nt
Filed under: uncultured bacterium
Lineage: Bacteria
Description: partial 16S ribosomal RNA
Rfam family: Bacterial small subunit ribosomal RNA
Source: RNAcentral